GAACACGUCAAGCUCGGUGUCUCCGCUCCCCCAGCAAGGGCCUUCCACACAUCAGCUACGUCUCUAGUCCCCACUCCUGGCUUUUUAGUCCUUGUCCCCUCUGGACAACCCCCCUCACCCGCACACCACACUCCUCACUCUCCGCAUAUGACCUGACCUGGGUGGGAGAGAAAAAGGCCUUUUGGCGGGGGUGGGAAGUACUCCACCAACUUACUGCCCCUCUCUUUUUUUAAAACAGCUUAAUGAGGUGUAAUUUCCAUGCCAUAAAAUUCCUCCGUGGACGUGUACAAUUUACUGAUAUUUGCUGUUUUGAGAGACUUGUGCAGUCAUCACCCCGUUCUAAUCUUUGAGUCAUGUACCAUUCCUAUCCCAAGCCCUAGGCAUCCACGAAUCUACGUUCUAUCUCUACAGGUUUGCCUUUUCUGGACAUUUCGCGUAAAUGGAGUCGCACAACGCGUAAUCUUUUGUGUCUGACUUCUUUUUCGGGUUCGUCCAUGUUGCAGCCUGCAACAGAAGCUGGUUCCAUUUUAUUGCAAAAUGCUCUCGCAUCGUAUGGGUAAAACACAUUUUGUUUAUUCACUAGGUGACGGACAUGUGAGUUGUUUUUGCUCUUUGGCUGUGAGGAGUGAUGCUGCUGUGAACGUUUGCAUACACAUCUUUGUGCGGAUAUAUAUUUUUACGCCUCUUGGGCAGAUGCCUAGGAACUCGCCCCAAUCUUACGAGCUGAUCUGGAUCCUUCUCUCCUUCCUCUCCAGUAUCAGUGAAUGAGGUGUCUCUCCUCCGAUUACAGUAGAACUCUCCAGCUAUGCUCUGCAUUAUCCCCUUUCCUGCUGCCUGAUGGGUCUUGCUCUGUCUGUCCCCCCUUCUCUCUCACUGCCAGUAUUCUCCUCCAUAAAAUGAGGAUAACAGUAAGGUCCACCUCCUGGCGUUUUGUGAGGAUUAAAUGAGUUCAGUGGAUUGAUUCUGAGGUCCCUCAAGAUCCCCAUCUCCUCCUGUUCAGGCCUUCGUGAAAUCCCCUGGCAUGAGUAGAGGCGAGACCUGUGACUUGCUCCUCUAACCAAUGGCAUAUGGCAAAGGUGAUGGGAUGUCACUCCCAUAAUUAUGUCACAUUACAUAAGACUCUGUCUUAGAAGACUCGAGGUACAGACUUUCCUUGCUGGCUUCAUGAAGUAAUCAGGCACACUGGGGAACCCUGGGCAUCCUCCAGAGAUUGCAGGUGGCCUCUAGGACCUCAGAGGAGCCUCUAGCCAAUGGCCACCAAGACUCCACAGCCCCAGCACUACAACCACAAGAAAAUGAAUUAUGCUGACAAUCUGAGUGAGUGUAGAAGUGAAGUCUGCCCCAGUUGAGCCUCCAGAUGAGAAUUCAACCCAGCUGUCACCUCGACUGUAAGCUUUGAGACCCAGAGCAGAGGACCCAACUCUGCCAUAUCAGGAUUCCUGACCUGCAGAAACUAUAAGAUGAUAAAUAUGUGUUGUUGCAAGCUGCCGAGUUUGUGGCGAUUUGUUCCAUAGUAACAGAAAACAAAUGCAUACAUAAAGAGCUUAGAGAAGAGCCUAGCACCACCAGCAGCCCCUAAGAGUGUUAGUGGAUGCUCACGGCAGUACCAGAUCAGCAAUUUUCCCCUAGAUUAUAACCGAGCAAAGCCCAUCUCAAGCAAUCAACAGAAAACAAGUGAGCCUUUAUUUUCCAUCCCUGACAAAUUCCUUCCAAGAGUUUUCUGUAUUCAUUUCUUGCCCUUCUAUUCACUCUCAUUUUGCUGCAAUUUAAUUCCUCCGCUUCCUCGACUCCACUGAAGCUGUUCUCCUCGAGGUCACCAAUAAUCUCCUAGUUACUAAAUCUGCUGAAUGAUUUGUGUCCUUCCUGUACUUGACUCCCCUUUGGCCCUUGAUGUUGGUGACUGAAGUGGCUUAGAGCCUUGUCCCAACAAGACCUUCGCUGAAUCUGAACCUCUUUCGGGAGGACUCAAGAGUGAUUAGAUCCUGGCAUGCUGGCUCCUGGAAACUUCCAUUUACUCCUUCAUUCAUUCAUCUUGAUACACCCUUGCAUACUUGUGGGUAUUGCAGACGCAGCACUAAAGCACUCCACGAUACGGGCACAGUCCUUACUCUCAAAGAAGAUUGCAUUAGAGGCACAGGGGCACAGAUUAAAAUAGGCCCAGAAGUAGAUAGACUGUAAGAUUUCAUGUGUGGAAGUAUUGUGAUGACAACAAGGGAGGAUGAAGUGACAGAGAAUCCUACAUAGAGAACCUAUAUUAGAGCAAGCAGUCGGAGAAAGCUUCUCCAGGGAGGUGACAUUUGAACUGGGGUUUGAAUGAAGGAGCCAGCCAUGGGGAGAUUGGGGGGAAGAGCGCUCUAGGCCAAGGGAGCAGCUAAUGCAAAGACUCUAAAGCGGGCAGCAUCUUGGGGUGUCUAAAGAACAGAAAGAAGGCCAGUGUGGCUGCUGCAGAGCUGAGCGAACCGCUGAGUGGUGGGAGAUGAGGCCAGAGACACUAGCGGGCUCAGCCCGCCCCCCUCCCCCCCCCGGGCCCAGUCUGGACUUUAGUCCAAGUGCAACGGUGAAUGAACAGAGAUUUAAAGCAGGGGAGUCGAUGAUGUGGUUCUUGUUUUAUGAAGAGCAGUCUGGUUGCUACCUGGAGAAUGCAUUAGAGGGAGGCAACGGCCAAAGCAGAGAGACUAGCGGAAUGGCUAUCGCAGGGCUGUGGGGGGAGAUGUGAUGGCGGUUUUGACUGGUGUAGAUUGUUUUCCUUGGAGACAGACUCUGGAAUUCUGUGAUUUGCAUACAGGUGAUUUCCUGGGGGAUGCGCUCAGGGAUGACACCUGUGGGGGAGUGAGGACAGCAGGCACAACUUCCAACUGUGAACAAGUUGCAACUGAGAGCCCUCAGCCCCCCUCAAGGGAAGCCACCAAGCUGGGAGACGUCCUUGGAGCUGUCCUAAAUGGAAGCCAGAGGGUCAGGCUUUCAGACCGUAGACUCAACCAGUCCCUGGACGACGGGGUGUGGGCCUGGGGAGGGAACGUAGCCUCAAACAAAAGAGGGUUCUCUUCAACGGAGAGGAAUUCCUGGAGAAGGACGCCACCACUGGAGGAUCGGGUGCCCUGGGCAUGCUAUGAAGUAUCCACAGGUGGUAGCUACAGACAUGUAGAGAAUCUGGCAAAGCCAGAUUAUAAUUUCUAGGUAGAACCAGCGGAAGUCAUAGUUGGCCUCACUGUAAGACAAAACAUGGGAGGAAUCAAAGGUGGCUCCCAAGUAUCUGGUUUGAGCACUGGGGAAGAUGGUGUUCCCAUUCCUGAGACGGGGCACCGAUUUCUGGAAGAAAUUAAGAGCUCAGCUUUGGCCAUGUGCCAUCCCAGAGUCCUGACAGACGUCCGCGGAGUGUUGACAACUAUGCAGCCUGACAGGUGAGCAUGAGGCUCAGUCAAGGCUGAGGACCUAGUUUGGGAAACUCCUGGUCAUCCAGCAAGUAGAGGAUGUGUAGCCUGCCAGAGACACUGAAGAAAGGCCAUUGAAGUGGGAGAGAAUUGAGAAGAGUGGGUGUCCCAGAAGCCAAGAGAGGAGCCAUUUUAAGGAAGAGGGAGGAGCUGUCAGGGUUGAGUGCCAAUGAGGGGCAACCGUUGGAUUUGGCGGGACGGGGACCACCAGGUAAUCUUGCCAAGAGGACUUUUGGUGGGAUGGUGGGAAUGGAAGCCCAGGUAGAAAAGGUGAGAGGGAGAAUCAGAGGGGGAGACGUGAUUACAGCAGUUGUAGGCAAUUAUUUGUUUGACCUAUCUCGCUGUACAGACAAGCAGGGAAAUGGGACAAUGCUUGGAGCAAGGUGUCUGGCCAAUUAUAGGGGUUUUCAAAAGAUGUCAUUCCAGAACAUGCACAUCUGUAGGUGAGGAGGAUUGUGGAGAGCGGCAAGAGGGAAGGAAGGUGCAAAGCCCUGAGGAAGAAACAGAAUUGGACAGACUGAGGGAGGCGGUGGAGAGGCAAGUUUCAUUUAAAUUGAAAGGCGACCUUUGUAACAGCCGGAAGCAUCCAGCCGGAAGGAAGUGAACACCACUUCACCAGAAGAGUGUGGUGGAAUGUUCCGGUCUCCAUCAGAGGGAAUCAGCCCCACGCGUGCGUUCCCACAGCAUUUGGCUCACGAUCCCAUCAGAGCACCUGCCUCGAUGCGUCUGGUCCCAGGUCCGGCCCCCUUUGGGUCGGAAGCUCCUUGAGGACAGGAGCAUUGUCUAGCCCCUGUCGCUGCAGUCUCCAUCAGCCCCAUGCAAGGGAGGGGGCAUUCAAAGGGAAGCCCUGCAGCGAUGGCCCAGCCUUACGACUGCCUGCACCUCAAAAAGAACCCCAGGAGAGCCGAGUUCCUGAGGACAGCAAUACUUUUUCAGGGAGCCAGCUGGGGCCACUGACCCUCUUCAAAAGCCCUGCCUAAGGCCGCCCUGGGACCCACCCUCAAGGGACUUGCUCCGAGGACAAGUCUGAGACCCCGUCUGUGGCAGCCGUGGCAUGGCUCAGCCACCACGGCUGUCCCCUGAGCACGGUCCCACCAACACUCUCUUUGGGAGCCACGUGGGACCGAAUGCCGGUUUGCAUUUCCAAGCCCCGAUCGUAUACGCGAUAGAGGCUCGUGCAGCCGUUUAACACAAAGCUGCCGCUCUGUAUUUAUUGACAUGGAAAGAUGUCCACAACAUAUUGUCGAGAGAAAAAAGCGUUUUACACCACAGCCUGUGGCG
Long non-coding RNA from Acinonyx jubatus (cheetah), 4712 nucleotides. RefSeq lists it as uncharacterized. Lineage: Eukaryota; Metazoa; Chordata; Mammalia; Carnivora; Felidae. The transcript is spliced from 4 exons. The record is from RefSeq and is a predicted model, not a curated record.